UUUCCGUAGGUGAACCUGCGGAAGGAUCAUUAUCGAAUUUAAUUCCGGGGUUGUAGCUGGCCAUUAUUUUGGCAUGUGCACGCCCUGGUAAUCCAAAUCAUUUAUACCUCUGUGCACUAUUAUGUGGGAUUGAUGAGGCUUUGGUGCUUGCGCCAAUGGCAUUAUCAUUCUCAUGUUUCACAUACACUCUUUAGUAUAGAAUGUUAUUGCGUUAGACGCAUCUUAAUACAACUUUCAGCAACGGAUCUCUUGGCUCUCGCAUCGACGAAGAACGCAGC
RNAcentral lists this unclassified non-coding RNA (278 nucleotides) under plant metagenome. RNAcentral describes it as "partial contains small subunit ribosomal RNA, internal transcribed spacer 1, and 5.8S ribosomal RNA". The stretch from base 230 to 278 matches the Rfam family "5.8S ribosomal RNA", at positions 1 to 49 of the family's 154-position model. The record is from RNAcentral.